RNAcentral lists this ribosomal RNA (197 nucleotides) under uncultured bacterium. RNAcentral describes it as "partial 16S ribosomal RNA". It matches the Rfam family "Bacterial small subunit ribosomal RNA", at positions 335 to 524 of the family's 1533-position model. The record is from RNAcentral. RNAcentral also lists the same sequence under 1 other name.
ACUCCUACGGGAGGCAGCAGUGGGGAAUAUUGCACAAUGGGCGCAAGCCUGAUGCAGCCAUGCCGCGUGUGUGAAGAAGGCCUUCGGGUUGUAAAGCACUUUCAGCGAGGAGGAAGGGUUCAGUGUUAAUAGCACUGUGCAUUGACGUUACUCGCAGAAGAAGCACCGGCUAACUCCGUGCCAGCAGCCGCGGUAAU